RNAcentral lists this ribosomal RNA (425 nucleotides) under uncultured bacterium. Its description in RNAcentral is "partial 16S ribosomal RNA". It matches the Rfam family "Bacterial small subunit ribosomal RNA", at positions 354 to 796 of the family's 1533-position model. The record is from RNAcentral.
GUGGGGAAUAUUGCGCAAUGGGGGAAACCCUGACGCAGCAACGCCGCGUGAGCGAAGAAGGUUUUCGGAUUGUAAAGCUCUGUCUUUAGGGACGAUAAUGACGGUACCUAAGGAGGAAGCCCCGGCUAACUACGCGCCAGCAGCCGCGGUAAUACGUAGGGGGCAAGCGUUGUCCGGAUUCACUGGGCGUAAAGAGCACGUCGGCGGUUAAUUAAGACAGGUGUGAAAGUUUUCGGCUCAACCGGAAAAGUGCACUUGAAGCUGGAUAGCUUUGGUAUCGGAGAGGUAAGCGGAAUUCCUAGUGUAGCGGUGAAAUGCGUAGAGAUUAGGAAGAACACCGGUGGCGAAGGCGGCUUGCUGGACGAUAACUGACGCUGAGGUGCGAAAGCGUGGGGAGCGAACAGGAUUAGAUACCCCUGUAGUCC